This 225-nucleotide ribosomal RNA is filed under the name uncultured Lactobacillus sp. Its description in RNAcentral is "partial 16S ribosomal RNA". It matches the Rfam family "Bacterial small subunit ribosomal RNA", at positions 136 to 354 of the family's 1533-position model. Lineage: Bacteria; Bacillati; Bacillota; Bacilli; Lactobacillales; Lactobacillaceae. The record is from RNAcentral.
UAUGGNGACACUGUAACGAAAGGUGCUAAUACCGGAUAAGAAAGCAGAUCGCAUGAUCAGCUUUUAAAAGGCGGCGUAAGCUGUCGCUAUGGGAUGGCCCCGCGGUGCAUUAGCUAGUUGGUAAGGUAAAGGCUUACCAAGGCGAUGAUGCAUAGCCGAGUUGAGAGACUGAUCGGCCACAUUGGGACUGAGACACGGCCCAAACUCCUACGGGAGGCAGCAGGA